RNAcentral lists this long non-coding RNA (1672 nucleotides) under Stylophora pistillata. RNAcentral describes it as "uncharacterized LOC111332483, transcript variant X1". The record is from RNAcentral. Lineage: Eukaryota; Metazoa; Cnidaria; Anthozoa; Scleractinia; Pocilloporidae.
GUUGCGUAUGAUUGCACCCUGCAGCCACCAGCAUGUCCACUACUGCCUGCUCCGUUCCACGGAAGAAAGCUUGGAUGUCCAAGAAAUAGAGUGGAUUAUGAUACGGUCUGUCACUUCUCAUGUAAUGAUGGCUAUAUAGGAUCUGGUUCUCAAGUAAGACGAUGUCAACACAGUGGAACUUGGAGCGGACAGGAGUUUGUUUGUCAACCUGUCACGUGCCCGUUACCUACCAAUGCUGUUCUUUUGGGAUGCAACUCUAGUACGAUAGAGAUGUUAUAUGGCACAGAAUGCAGAUUCUCUUGUACGGAAGGAUCUGAGGUGACCACUUCAACAAUAAGAUGUAACAAAAAUGGAAAGUGGAGUGGGGCAAAGCUUGCAUGUACAGGUAUAAUACCUGCGAACACUCAGUAGAAUGAAAAUGCAAAGGAGUAAUUCAGGUGGUUCGAGAAGUUUGGUUUCUUGAUAUUUUAAUGAUCGUGGAUGACAAAUCAAUUCACGGUCGUCAAUUAGCUGAUUAUAGUUUGCAAUGAUUUUAAAUUGCGGUGGUCGAUUUAAAAUUUUUGCAACCUUUUUUUUUCUGGUUACGCAGUCUAUUUAAUGCAUUUAUGCAUUGAUCUAUUGAUGCAAGAUCGCAGAAUACAAAAUCCUCGACGAUCUUCAAUAGCCAGUCAAUUCACAACUUUCAACAAUCUCACUGUGGUUUGCAAUGACUGUAGAUUUCGAUGAUCGAUCUAGAAUUGUUGCACAUUCUCAGUUUUAUUUCUGGCUAAGCGGUCUUUUCCUAGCAUCCUUACAUUGAUCUACCCUUGUACGAUUAAAUUCAAUAUCUUGAAAAUCUUGAAUCGGUAAUCGAUGAAGGAUCGUAAAUGUACUUUUCUAGUUUGCAAUGAUUGUAGAUUGCGAUAGUCGAUCUAAAAUCAUUACAAAUCCAAAUUCGUCUCUCUGGCUCAGGCUACACCACUGUCUAAUGCAUCUAUGAUUUGACAUGGUGAUGCACGAUCGAAUUCCCCAAACUCGACAAUCUUGAAUCACCAAUCGAUACAGGAUCUUAGGGAUUUUAGUUCACGAUGGUCAAUCUGACAUCGCUGCAACAUUCCUCCUUGUUUUUUUGCUGUGUUUAACACGAGAUUAAGCGGGGAUUGAUCGAUUUACCAUCGCAGAAUGGAUUAUCACUAUCUGUGUAACGGCACAUUUACAUUUUGCAAUGUUUAGUCUAAUCAAGAUAUCGAUACCGACUGUAACAAGGGAUGCAUUCAGGUCUCAUAGUACAGUCUUCCUUUAUGAGUGCUGAUUUUCUGGUGAGCUCGUUUCCCCCAUAGCUUUAGGGCUACAUUGCAAUAUUGUCACAGACAGGGACAGCUUGGAACUCGCUGCACAACCUCACGCAAGAAAUGAACCGACUAAAAUAACGCAAGGUUAAUCAGCCAGACACCAGAAAAAAGACUUGUUUGGGAAGAUUGAAAAUUGAAGAUUGAAAAGUUCAAGUUCAAUGCUGACCUUCAGUAAAGGACCAUGAGCCUCGACAAAAAUGAUUAAUUAAAGCGAUCACAUGUCCAAUGUACGUUGCCUUCACCAUCCAAUGGAACAAGACUCGAUUGUCUAAGAAAUCCGACAGUCUGUGUUGGGUCAGUCUGUCAGUUUGCAUGGAAUGCUGACUAUGUAGGAUACGGUU